AACCCUACAGCCGCAAAAAAAAAAAAUCCCUCCCCAACACUCAGCAGCAGCAACGCUGCAAUGAGGGGGGGAAAACACACACACAGCCUCCCUUCUUGAACCAAAGAAAAGAACGAAGCAGAGAGGGAAAGGGAGACUGAGUCGCGGUGGAGGAGAGGAGGAGGGAGCUUGCCGUCGCGCCACCAUGCCACCACCUCACGCCUUGCCCCCGUGCCUCACACCUCACCGCCACCAUACGAGAGGCUCCAUGGCCUUUGCUGUCGAGCUCGCGGGUGGGAGAAACAGAGAGACGCGAUGGAUGUGAGGAGGAGGAGCUAGCGUCGCUGUUGAACGGUGCUGAGCCACCGGAGCCGUUGCCUCGCCGUCGUGCCUUGCCCCUGUUGCCGCGCGAACAGAGGAGAAUGGGGGACCUAGAGAGAAGGGGCGACGAACGAAGCCAUCGCUGGGACCUUGGCCACCGCUGCCAGAGGCAUGGAGGAAGGGAGAGCAGUGGUGCAUUCAGCUGCGUCACCACCGCGCCUUACCUCGCCGCCGUUGACCUAUCUGCAGUCCACUGCCGCCAGAGCUCCUUGGCCUCGCCACAGAAGCUGCCUUCGUCGGUACCGUUGGAGGCACGAAUGGAAGAAGAACGCGCACGAGGGAGCUUGCAGAGAGGGUGAUGCGCGAUGGUAGUAGGUUAUUCCGCCGCCCUUGCUGCCGUCAGAAGCUGUCGCCACGACCGUCGGCCUCCUAGCCGCCGCAGUGGUUGGAGUCCACUGUGUACGGUCGCCGGAGAAGUCGUUGUGGCUGCUGAAACCACCGCCAAAGCUCCAGGCUGAGCUUCUGCCACGUGAGACCUUGCUGCCGUCGCCGGAAAAGUAUGCCGUUGAUCCACCGGAGUUUUUGGCCGCCGCCAGAGCUGUUGCUGGGCCUGUUCGAAAUCGCAACUGCUUCGUGUUGUUAUUCCGUGGCUGGGAGCUGAGGUUUUGGUUGCCGGUGAUUUCGAGUUGAGCGGAAAGGACUCCGUGAGACGUUUGGGUUAUGGAUUUGCGUUUUGAGGAUAUGGGCGCUGAAGUCUCGAAGAGUUUAAUUAGUUGUUGUUGUGAUGCUCUGUAUUGCUUUAGAUUAUUUAUUGUACCCUCGCCUUUAUCUUAAUAUAUUCUAUGAGAGGGUUAGGAAUUGUAUUGGGUAAUGCUUGUAAUAUUAUUUAUAUAUAUGUGUAUAUAUAUAUAUAUGGAUGUACUCUUUAUGAGUUUUGUAAGUUGCAUGGUAUCUAUGGAUAUAUGUUAUCGGAUGAAAGUAUUUUUGGGAGCGGUUUCGCGGU
Arachis ipaensis is the source of this 1303-nucleotide non-coding RNA. The record is from RefSeq and is a predicted model, not a curated record. Lineage: Eukaryota; Viridiplantae; Streptophyta; Magnoliopsida; Fabales; Fabaceae.